GGCCCGGUGGCGGAAUUGGCAGACGCAGCGGACUUAAAAUCCGCUGGUACUCACGUACCGUGCGGGUUCGAGCCCCGCCCGGGCCA
Molecule: transfer RNA, 86 nt
Filed under: Longibacter salinarum
Lineage: Bacteria; Pseudomonadati; Rhodothermota; Rhodothermia; Rhodothermales; Salisaetaceae
Rfam family: tRNA
About the family: Transfer RNA (tRNA) molecules are approximately 80 nucleotides in length. Their secondary structure includes four short double-helical elements and three loops (D, anti-codon, and T loops).
Source: Rfam by way of RNAcentral